GGAUGGACCCGCGGUGCAUUAGCUAGUUGGUGAGGUAACGGCUCACCAAGGCCACGAUGCAUAGCCGACCUGAGAGGGUGAUCGGCCACAUUGGGACUGAGACACGGCCCAAACUCCUACGGGAGGCAGCAGUAGGGAAUAUUGCGCAAUGGGGGCAACCCUGACGCAGCCAUGCCGCGUGAAUGAAGAAGGCCCUCGGGUUGUAAAGUUCUUUCGGUAGCGAGGAAGGCAUUUAGUUUAAUAAACUAGGUGAUUGACGUUAACUACAGAAGAAGCACCGGCUAACUCCGUGCCAGCAGCCGCGGUAAUACGGAGGGUGCGAGCGUUAAUCGGAAUAACUGGGCGUAAAGGGCACGCAGGCGGUGACUUAAGUGAGGUGUGAAAGCCCCGGGCUUAACCUGGGAAUUGCAUUUCAUACUGGGUCGCUAGAGUACUUUAGGGAGGGGUAGAAUUCCACGUGUAGCGGUGAAAUGCGUAGAGAUGUGGAGGAAUACCGAAGGCGAAGGCAGCCCCUUGGGAAUGUACUGACGCUCAUGUGCGAAGCGUGGGGAGCAAACAGG
Molecule: ribosomal RNA, 560 nt
Filed under: uncultured Pseudomonadota bacterium
Lineage: Bacteria; Pseudomonadati; Pseudomonadota
Description: bacterial SSU rRNA
Rfam family: Bacterial small subunit ribosomal RNA
Source: RNAcentral